Non-coding RNA from Acanthosepion pharaonis, 108 nucleotides. The record is from the annotation of a GenBank genome assembly. Lineage: Eukaryota; Metazoa; Mollusca; Cephalopoda; Sepiida; Sepiidae.
UUACGGCCAUAUCAAUGUUGAAACACCAAUUCUCAUAUGAUCACUGAAGUUAAGCAAUGUUGAGCCUAGUCAGUACCUUGAUGGGUGAUUGCUUGGGUAUACCAGGUG